AAACCAUAUACAGUAUGCCUUCUUCUACAGUCAUGGACAAAAAAUAAUUUGACCACCUCACCCUUGUUUUCUUCAAUUUCUUGUUCAUUUCUAUGCCUAGUACCACAAAAGGUAUAUUACCCGAAGAAUACAAUAAACAUGACAAAAAUGCAGCUGAUUACAUAGCAGUUUCUGUCCUACUUGACAUGCUUAAACUUAAUUGUAUUCCCAGGGUAUAUAAGAGGUCAUUUCAUGGCAUAAGCAGCACUGCACAUGCAAAGGCCUAGAGUGGUUUUCUGCUUAAAUUCAAGCCGUGGCACAACUCAGAAGUUGUCAGCUCUCACAUAAUGCCUAAAACAAAAGAACUAGUGAAGCCACAAAGGCAGCCAUGUUGGCACUGCUGGAAAUUGGCAUGAGUGAGAGGCAGGUAGCAACAAAACUGAAGAUCUCCAAGACAGCCGUUCAUUACACCAAGAAAAAACAAGCUGAACAUGGCACUACCAAAUUGCUAGCUGGUCACGGCAGGAAACGUCUUUCUACCCCAUGAGAUGACCGUGCACUCAUCCCUUCCUCUGUCAAGAAUCAUCGACGGAGCUCCAGGGACCUUAAAAAUGAGUGGGUACUGUCGAGAAAUGUGACUUGUUUGACAAGGACAGUUGGAAACCGACUUCUUGAAGAUUGUCUGAAGUCACAUAGGGCAAGGAAGAAGCCCUUCAUCAAUGAAAGGCAGAGGAAAGCCUGGUUACUCUUUGCUGGGGAUCACAAAGAUUGGACUGUUGAAGAUUGGGCUAUGGUUCUCUUCAGUGAUGAGUCCAAUUAUCAGUUGAUACCCACUCCAGUCAACUUUCUGGUUAAGAGGAAGCCUGGAGAAGCCUACAAACUAGACUGUCUUGCUCCUACAAUAAAACAUGGGGGUAGAUCAGUGACGAUCUGGGGUUGUUUCAGUGUGGAUGGAACAGGGCAAAUGCAAUGGUGUGAAAGGUGAAGGUCCAGGGCUACAGGGCUGCUCUUGAAAGCAGUCUUCUUCCAUUAGCUGGAAAACUCUUUACUGCCUCCAAUGGCUGGAUUUUCCAACAAGACAAUGCCCCUUGCCACAUGGCAAGGUCAUUUAAAGUGUGAAUGGAGAACCAGAACAUUUUAACCAUGCCUUGGUCUGCUCAAUCACCGGAUCUAAAUCAAAUUGAAAACCUGUGGAAAAUCAUCAAAUGCAAAAUGGAGACCCACAAGCCCAAAAAACGAAGCAAAGUUGUUUGAAUUUGUGCAACAGGAAUGGGCUGCUGUGACAGCAGAACGAUGUCAGAAGCUGGUGGAGAGCAUGCCAAGACACAUGGCUGCAGUCAUCAAAAACAAUGGUUAUAUAAUCAAGUACUAUCUCCUGUGUGUAUCAUGUGACUAAAACAGACAGAAAAGAAAACAUGAAAUCCCUAAAAGCACUGUUUUUGGCAGUACAAUGCCAUAGCUACUGAUGGAAGAACUUAAGUGAUUUUGGUUAUUAUCAAGAAAAUAAUGGAAAAUAGCUAGAUAUCAACUCUUAAAUUAAACUCUUAUGAACGCUUUUGUUGUUAUCAUAUUUGUCCAAACAAAUGUACCUUUAUUUGUACCUGGCAUGAAAAUGAACAGGAAAUUGAAGAAAACAAGGGUAGACUAAUAAUUUUUUCCAUGACUGUAAAAUAAGUUAUUUGGAGAUGAUUUAGUAUUAUUAGUGUGGAAGUUAUGUCAUAUUACACUUAGGCUCACAAAAUUUAACUUACCGUAAAGCUAAUCCUUUUUUUCUUUUUUUCAUUUUAUGUUGCGGGCUGUCCCCUGCCUUCACCCUAAGUCAGAGGGGAUAGGCUCCAGACCCCCGCAACCCUAAUGCUAAUGAGGAUUAAGUGGUGUAUAGAUAAUGGAUGGAUGUUUUAUGCUGACAAAACAUCAAACAGCUGUAUGUAGUGCAAAAGAAGAUGCUCCCAGCGAGCAUCUUUUCAGAUACUAGUCACCCAGAGUUCCAUUCAUUUUUAGUGUCUUUCAGCUCUGUGAGUUUUGUACAUGUAUCACUUUAUAGGUAGCAAUAAAGCGUUUUAUAUUCUAUCUGCAUGGCAACAUUCAGUGUUUUUUGGGGGUUAUUUUUUUGGCCAUAUUUGACAGGUUAAGUUGAGAGGCAAUUAGAGGAAAGUAGGGGAGAGAAAUGGGGUGAAGACCUGCAGCAAAGGGCGUGAGCUGAAAUCAAACCCAGGCUGCUGCGUGGGGGGCUAUAGCCCCUGUUUAUGGGCCACCCACUCAACCAGUUGGGCUAUCUGGGCGCUCUCAUUCAGUGGUUUUAAUAAUGUGCAGCUCUACAGAUUUGCAGAUGUAACGUAUUUUCCUCAGCUGAGAAUCUGUAAAAUUCAUAGAGAAUAAUCAGGAGACUAUUUGGUUAAAGUGAGACAUUUCUUACAGCUGAUUUAACAUAAAAUGCUCCAGAUCAGGUUAACUUGAGAGCACAAGUUACCACGGUGAUCUAGCUGGUUUAAACAGAGCUAAAAGCUCUGACUUUAGCUCAACAUACCUCACUAACCCAAUAGUCUUGCUUUGUGGUACAGCCCCCUGGUUACCUUCAUAAUGUAAAGAUCUGCAUGUCAUUUUUGUUGCUCCAAUCUAUUAAUUCAUAGUGCCUGACUUAGCACCGAUUCUUUGUGUUUCCAUCAGCUGAGCACCGGCUCCAGGCUCCAAAAACUGGUGUAUUCAGGCACCAGCUCUUUGCUGGGCCAAAGUUGAGAACUGAGUACGUCACGGGCUGGGGGUGGGUUUACGGUGACCGACGAUCAACGGUGAAAACACAGAACCACCAUUUUUAAACAGCCGAGCAAGUAGUAGUAGUAGUGUUUAGUGUUUGUGUUUUGAAAACCAGUAAAUAUAGACGCCAUAUCCAAGCAGCAGUGGUCUGAGGAGGUGACCCAAUGCUUCCUAGCACUGUGAUUGGCAUAUGAAAUUCAGUCGAAGUUAGAGGGAGCCUCUCGGACCACGCUGGUGUUCGAAACGAUUCAGCAGGAGACGGCUGCAGCCGGUACAAGCGGAACCUCGACUAACUCCUCAACAAACUUAAAAAGUGCAAAAAUGACUACACGGACCAGAAAAGGGAGGUGGAACGCAGCAAUUGUCGGCCAAAAAGAGCCCCUAUUUUGACCGGCUGAAUUCCGUGAAUUCCAACCAGGGUCCUAAACGCCACAGCCGUGCUGGAGUUGAUGCAGUCCACCGUACAGACCACCGAUCCUGAUUCUGUUGUUGACCUUGGAUGAUGAGGUCCAGUUGCCAGGACCGCUACUCUGCAGCUCACCGGUCCCAUCCUGUAGCUCAUCCACGCCAUUCUCCUCUCUACAGACCAAAUCAAGAAAAGAGAAGUGGGAUGCUGCUGU
Molecule: long non-coding RNA, 3353 nt
Organism: Amphiprion ocellaris (clown anemonefish)
Lineage: Eukaryota; Metazoa; Chordata; Actinopteri; Pomacentridae
Exons: 3
Source: RefSeq, a predicted model, not a curated record